This is a long non-coding RNA of Oreochromis aureus, 634 nucleotides long. RefSeq lists it as uncharacterized. The transcript has 2 exons. NCBI's taxonomy places the organism in Eukaryota, Metazoa, Chordata, Actinopteri, Cichliformes, Cichlidae. The record is from RefSeq and is a predicted model, not a curated record.
UAUAUCGAACAGCCCUACGUCAGAUAAAACUACAUUUAUAUUUUUAAGUUUAAGGCUUGUCUUAUAAUUGUUAACAAAAUUGUAGUUCUGUCAAAACAAAACUGUGAAGAUGUUUUCAGAAACCUAACACAGCAUCUGAAAAUGAAGAAGCUAAGUGGUGAAAUUCUCGUUUCUGGAGCUUUCCUGCUGGCUGCUAGCACAUUAAAUGGACUAUUAUGUUUAAUGUAAAUCCACCAGGGGAAACGCCUACAAUGGGUACUGAUCUACACCGCAACAGACAUUUCUACUGCAUUUUUGAACUCGAUUUCUCCUCAGCUGGACUGCAGUGGAACAACUGAGAUCAAACAAUGAAGAAGGAGCAGAAAUGCAGAAAAUACACAGUGGAGGACAAGGAGGUCAACAUAACUUUGACCAAACAGAGUGUUUAGUCUCUUUGGAAACUUUUACAACUUUUUUAGAAAUUCAAGUUCAAAACCAACCCAGUAUUGAGGAUUGUAGUUGAUUAAUUAAUCCCAGCUAAACAUUACUGGACGUGUAGCUCUUCCUCUCUCUCUAUAAAAACACCAGCAGUAUAAAACAGCAGAACCAGUUUGUCUGUACCCAAUGAGGCGAAUAAACAAAAUACCACCUCUCC